CACCUGCGCCACGAGUGGCAAUCGUAUUUAUUUGGCCUAAAGCGUUCGUAGCCGGAUAGGACAGUCUUGAGUGAAAUCGUUGCGCUUAACAAAACGGCGUGCUUGAGAUACUACUUAUCUAGGGACCGGGAGGCGUUAGGGGUAUUCCUGAGGGAGCGGUAAAAUGUUAUAAUCUCAGGAGGACCACCUGUGGCGAAGGCGCCUAACGAGAACGGGUUCGACGGUGAGGAACGAAAGCUAGGGGAGCAAACCGGAUUAGAUACCCGAGUAGUCCUAGCCGUAAACGCUGUGAACUAGAUGUUACGUAUUCUAUAGGGAUAUGUAGUGUCGGAGCGAAGGCAUUAAGUUCACCGCCUGGGAAGUACGGUCGCAAGGCUGAAACUUAAAGGAAUUGGCGGGAGAGCACCACAAGGGGUGCGGCGUGCGGUUUAAUCUAACUCUACGCAGAGCAUCUUACCAGCAGCGACGGCAGGAUGAAGGUCAGAUUAAAUGUCUUACCUGACGGGCCGAGAGGUAUUGCAUGGCGGUCGUCAGCUCGUGCCGUAAGGUGUCCUCUUAAGUGAGGUAACGAGCGAGACCCAUACCCAUAAUUGCUAACGGGUUCUACGGAAUGACUGAGCACCUUAUGGGGACUGCUCUGGAAACAGAGAGGAAGGUGUGGGCCACGGUACGUCUGUAUGGUCCGAAUCUGCUGGGCUACACGCGCGCAACAAUGGCGAGGACAAUGGGAUGCAACGCCGAAAGGCGGAGCUAAACCUCGAAACCUCGUCCUAGUUUAGAUUGAGGAUUGUAACUCAUCCUCAUGACAUCGGAAUCCCUAGUAAUCGGGCUUCAUCACGGCCCGGUGAAUAUGUCCCUGCUCUU
This 864-nucleotide ribosomal RNA is filed under the name uncultured archaeon. RNAcentral's name for it is "SSU rRNA". It matches the Rfam family "Archaeal small subunit ribosomal RNA", at positions 474 to 1337 of the family's 1478-position model. The record is from RNAcentral.